This 419-nucleotide unclassified non-coding RNA is filed under the name fungal sp. Its description in RNAcentral is "partial internal transcribed spacer region". The stretch from base 1 to 46 matches the Rfam family "Eukaryotic small subunit ribosomal RNA", at positions 1786 to 1831 of the family's 1831-position model. Lineage: Eukaryota; Fungi. The record is from RNAcentral.
AAGUCGUAACAAGGUUUCCGUAGGUGAACCUGCGGAAGGAUCAUUAUCAUAACGUAUCCACGUAUAAACCAACUUUAAAUUGAUGUGAAACGUAACUGUUUUAACACCUCGAGAUAAUCAGAUGAUUGCUAUACUUUAACAUUGUUUGCGAUUAAAGCAAAAACGGUUUAGUAUGGACCUGUGCCUGUAACAAGGUGCUAGCGCUGAUUAUUUGGAGUGUAAAAAAUUUAAUCAACUAUUAACCCAUUGAACCGAAUUACUAUAUUCUUAACUGAGUUUAGUUAUUCAUUUUAAUUUCUAUUGUGUGAACUGAAUUGUCUACUUACUUGACACCGUCAUUGGUGGAGAGAAGUCGAUUAUAUUUACGAAACAUUAUAAAUUUCUAUGAACAACUCUUAGCAACGGAUAUCUUGGUUCUC